This 518-nucleotide ribosomal RNA is filed under the name uncultured bacterium. RNAcentral describes it as "bacterial SSU rRNA". It matches the Rfam family "Bacterial small subunit ribosomal RNA", at positions 26 to 518 of the family's 1533-position model. The record is from RNAcentral.
AGGACGAACGCUGGCGGCGUGCCUAAUACAUGCAAGUGGAACGCAUGAUUGAUACCGUAGCUUGCUACACCAUUAAUCAUGAGUCGCGAACGGGUGAGUAACGCGUAGGUAACCUGCCUACUAGCGGGGGAUAACUAUUGGAAACGAUAGCUAAUACCGCAUAAGAGUUUUUAACACAUGUUAGAAAUUUAAAAGGAGCAAAUGCUUCACUAGUAGAUGGACCUGCGUUGUAUUAGCUAGUUGGUAAGGUAACGGCUUACCAAGGCGACGAUACAUAGCCGACCUGAGAGGGUGAUCGGCCACACUGGGACUGAGACACGGCCCAGACUCCUACGGGAGGCAGCAGUAGGGAAUCUUCGGCAAUGGGGGGAACCCUGACCGAGCAACGCCGCGUGAGUGAAGAAGGUUUUCGGAUCGUAAAGCUCUGUUGUAAGAGAAGAACGUUGAGUAGAGUGGAAAGUUACUCAAGUGACGGUAUCUUACCAGAAAGGGACGGCUAACUACGUGCCAGCAGCAGC